Molecule: ribosomal RNA, 253 nt
Filed under: uncultured bacterium
Lineage: Bacteria
Description: partial 16S ribosomal RNA
Rfam family: Bacterial small subunit ribosomal RNA
Source: RNAcentral
UACAGAGGGGGCAAGCGUUAUUCGGAAUUACUGGGCGUAAAGGGCGCGUAGGUGGCCUGUUAAGUCGAACGUGAAAUCCCCGGGCUCAACCCGGGAACUGCGUCCGAGACUGGCAGGCUCGAAUCCGGGAGAGGGAUGUGGAAUUCCAGGUGUAGCGGUGAAAUGCGUAGAUAUCUGGAGGAACACCGGUGGCGAAGGCGGCAUCCUGGACCGGUAUUGACGCUGAGGCGCGAAAGCCAGGGGAGCAAACGGG